GAUAGGGAAGCGAAGAUCGCGUUUAGUUUCGGCCUAAAAAUUUGGUGUCACUCACCCCCCAUCU
RNAcentral lists this transfer RNA (64 nucleotides) under Atya gabonensis. RNAcentral describes it as "tRNA-Arg". Lineage: Eukaryota; Metazoa; Arthropoda; Malacostraca; Decapoda; Atyidae. The record is from RNAcentral.